GAGUUUGAUCGGCUCAGAAUCAACGCUGGCGGCGUGCCUAACACAUGCAAGUCGAACGCGAAAACCCGAAGGGGUGAGUAGAGUGGCAAACGGGUGAGUAACGCGUGGGUGACCUGCCUUCGAGCGGGGGAUAACGUUCCGAAAGGGACGCUAAUACCGCAUAACAUCCUGCCUUUGAACAGGUGGAGAUCAAAGCUGGGGAUCGCAAGACCCGGCACUUGAAGAGGGGCCCGCGUCUGAUUAGCUAGUUGGUGAGGUAACGGCUCACCAAGGCAACGAUCAGUAUCCGGCCUGAGAGGGCGGACGGACACACUGGGACUGAGACACGGCCCAGACUCCUACGGGAGGCAGCAGUGGGGAAUUGUUCGCAAUGGGCGCAAGCCUGACGACGCAACGCCGCGUGGAGGAUGAAGAUUUUCGGAUCGUAAACUCCUGUCGAAUGGGACGAAAAGUUCGCGGAGUAAUAUCCCGCGUUCCUGACGGUACCGUUAAAGGAAACCCCGGCUAAACUCCGUGCCAGCAGCCGCCGUAAC
This 533-nucleotide ribosomal RNA is filed under the name uncultured bacterium. Its description in RNAcentral is "bacterial SSU rRNA". It matches the Rfam family "Bacterial small subunit ribosomal RNA", at positions 9 to 524 of the family's 1533-position model. The record is from RNAcentral.